ACAACAUCAGGACCGUCUACUGAGCAAUAUCACCCGCUCGGUGGAAGAUCUUCCCUUUGUCGU
RNAcentral lists this microRNA precursor (63 nucleotides) under Bombyx mori (domestic silkworm). Its description in RNAcentral is "mir-2774 microRNA precursor family". It matches the Rfam family "mir-2774 microRNA precursor family". The record is from Rfam by way of RNAcentral. Lineage: Eukaryota; Metazoa; Arthropoda; Insecta; Lepidoptera; Bombycidae.